GAUGAACGCUAGCUGGAGGCUUAAUACAUGCAAGUCGAGCGGGAUUGGUAGCAAUACCAUGAGAGCGGCGCACGGGUGAGUAACGCGUACACGACCUACCUCUGACAGGGGGAUAGCCCUGGGAAACUGGGAUUAAUACCGCAUAUUAUUCUGAUUAAUAAAGGAUUGGAAUGAAAGUUCAGGCGGUCAGAGAUGGGUGUGCGUCUGAUUAGCUAGUUGGUAGGGUAACGGCCUACCAAGGCGAUGAUCAGUAGGGGGCGUGAGAGCGUGGUCCCCCACACGGGUACUGAGACACGGACCCGACUCCUACGGGAGGCAGCAGUAAGGAAUAUUGGACAAUGGCCGAAAGGCUGAUCCAGCCAUCCAGCGUGCAGGAAGAAGGCCCUAUGGGUUGUAAACUGCUUUUAUCAGGGAAUAAACCUCUGGAUUCACUCCGGAGCUGAAGGUACCUGAAGAAUAAGCACCGGCUAACUCCGUGCCAGCAGCCGGGUAAA
This 494-nucleotide ribosomal RNA is filed under the name uncultured bacterium. Its description in RNAcentral is "bacterial SSU rRNA". It matches the Rfam family "Bacterial small subunit ribosomal RNA", at positions 28 to 524 of the family's 1533-position model. The record is from RNAcentral.